CAGCCGCGGCGGUAAUACCGGCGGCCCGAGUGGCGGCCACUAUUAUUGGGCUUAAAGCGUCCGUAGCCGGGUUGGUUAGUCUCCCGGGAAAUCUGGCCGCUUAACGGUCAGAAUUCCGGGAGAUACUGCCAGCCUAGGGACCGGGAGAGGCCGAGGGUAUUCCCGGAGUAGGGGUGAAAUCCUAUAAUCCCGGGAGGACCACCUGUGGCGAAGGCGCUCGGCUGGAACGGGUCCGACGGUGAGGGACGAAGGCCAGGGGAGCAAACCGGAUUAGAUACCCGGGUAGUCCUGGCUGUAAACGAUGCGGACUUUGUGUCGGGUGAGCUUCGAGCUCGCCCGGUGCCGUAGGGAAGCCGUUAAGCCCGCCGCCUGGGGAGUACGGCCGCAAGGCUGAAACUUAAAGGAAUUGGCGGG
RNAcentral lists this ribosomal RNA (414 nucleotides) under uncultured microorganism. Its description in RNAcentral is "bacterial SSU rRNA". It matches the Rfam family "Archaeal small subunit ribosomal RNA", at positions 459 to 872 of the family's 1478-position model. The record is from RNAcentral.